CUUGUCACCAUAUGAAUGAGACUGUGAUGGCAUGGAAAUGCAUGUAGCCAAGGCUUUAUGCUACAAAAUCUAGGGAUGAGAGUCUCUCCCUGAAUGUUUGAAAACUCCAGACAAGAGCUAACAGUGAGGAUGCACCAGCUCCUCACUCUUCCUAGCUUCUGCUAUUAGUCUCUCCCCUGAAUGCAGUCUACUAAUACCCAGCACUGCCUUCCAGCAUUGGUCUGGGCAGAUGUUGGUGAUUAUGAGAAGAGAUGAAGUCUGAGCAAGGAGCUGGGACACAUCAAGGAAGAAGCUAAAACUCCACACAGAUGGGAGCCCAUGUACUCCAACCUAUUUUGUCCAGACUCCGAAGGCCAACGCGGAAGUAAAAAGUAUCUUCUCAUCUACAGGGACAAUAUGAAAUUAUUGUUUAAUCUGAAAUCUGCACAUAGAAUA
Long non-coding RNA from Phascolarctos cinereus (koala), 435 nucleotides. RefSeq lists it as uncharacterized. NCBI's taxonomy places the organism in Eukaryota, Metazoa, Chordata, Mammalia, Diprotodontia, Phascolarctidae. The record is from RefSeq and is a predicted model, not a curated record.